AUGUUUUGCCCCAAUAUUAAUUAAACUCUGAAAAUGUGCGGGACAGUCUGAUCUAUAUUCAGACUCACUAGAAUACGAAAUCGAAACUAGAAUGUUGCCAAUAUGGUAUUGAAUUAAUUAAACGGCCGAAUAACCCCGAACCCGCUUCAUGGACUGGGAAAUGACCGCCACUUACGAAAUGCCAGUUGAAAUUCGACAAGCGCGCACUGAUGACAUAAAAUACCUGAUUGAAUUUACAGAAUCUGAGGGAUGGGACUAUACAUACUUCGACUGCGAAGCCUCGUUGAGGACAGAUUUUACCUUUCUGUAUGUAGCAGUCGACACAUCCGGUACGCCUGUAGGUUUCGGUGGAAUCAGUCAGAUAGCACCUGGUUUAAUGUAUCUUGGACCUUACAUCGUAAAAGAAAGUCAUCGGCAUAAAGGCAUUGGAAGAAAGAUAUGGAAAACAUUACUUAAACGUGCCGACAAAAGCAACAUCUGCCUUGAUGGUGUGUCUGCAAUGGUCGACUGGUAUACAAAGCAGGGUUUCAUAUACGAGUCCUUCAAAAUUCACUGUUACGUUGUUAAGGUGACCAGUGACCUGAUCGCAUUUCCUUUGUCCUCUUGUGAUGUUGUUCCUCUAACAAAAGGCGUGUUACCGCUUUUAAUGGAGUAUGAUAGAAACAUCUACCCGGAUAUUGACCGAGAACGUCUUCUUCGGGCGUGGUUUCAAGGAGCUUCCGUUUUGAUUGCUUUUUUGGAUGGUCACGUGGUGGGAUACGGCAGCAUUCAUGAGCAAUCAAAGGGAAAAUAUGGCAUACGAUUUUUAAGCGCAGAGAAUAUGAAGGUUUUUGAGACCAUAUUAGGUCACAUGUUUACAAAAUUGCCGAAUGAAUCUAUUGUUCAGUUUGCAUUACUUGCAGAUAAAUCAAUGCCGGAGUACUUGAAGGUAAAUGCUGAAAUCACCGGAACAGCACAUCGCAUAUUAAACAAGGAUCACUUAAAGGUCAACAUAAAUAAAUUGUGGAUACAAAGUGUCAGUAAAUUUUGAAACAGAGUGUUCAUUGCAAACCUGAGAACUUACAUAACACGUAACAAAUAUGCUUUUUAUGUCUAGUAUAAUUUAGUGGUUGUAUUUUUAUCAUUUCUCUUAUCAGCCAAGCAAACCUGUGUUAAAUAUGGACAACCUACGGGCUGGCGAUUUAUACAGUGAGUAAUCUAAUACUGUUAAAACUCAUUGAAUAAUAUCUAUGACACCAAAUAUUGCAUACAAACCGCCGUUUAAUUAUUAUACCAACACAAGGCAGAACUGAAAGUCAAAUGAUUAAGUUUGGAUUAAGCGUCCGCUCCAUGUCCUAUUUAUGAUCAAAGUCUGUUACUUGGUCUUCGUUUCCAUUGCAUAUAUUCCACGGCUACUAAACCCUAGCGCCACAACCAAAAAGUUGUUAUAAGGAAAAGAGCUAUCGACAUUUCCAUGGUGCAGCUAUCACCACUUUCAAACUGUAAAUGUUUACAAUUCUGUCUUAUAUUUUUAUUGAUAAAACUUAUUUCAAAAGUCGGAGAAUAUAGUGCUGUGUAAGAACACUUUAACUACAGGGUGACUGUAAUUUCAUUAAAAUGUUAUAAAAAAUUGUGUUGUCAAGAGCUAUUCUCCUGAUUCGCACAAUUGCAUAUUUUGAUAUCUGUCCGUAUUCGAGCUGUAAUUUGAUGCGUAGACACCGUGAUUUUAAAAACAUUAUCACGCAUGCAAAUGGUCUAAAUAUAUACUUACACAGACAAACAUUAGCAGUUACUGUAAUGAAAUCUCCCUUAAAAGAAAUAUGCCAGUAUUUUUUAAGUGGUGGCGCUAUCGCAUCAGUGAUGCUACCAACUUACACUACCUUGUUUUAGUCCUAAAUAUAAGACCUGACAUAACUCAUAUCUCUUUAUAAGUUCAUUUUAAUUGAUAUUUUACAUUUUUUUAUUUUCCAUGUUAUGUCGAAAAAGGCUUUGAUAGUAAAAAUGUAAAAUGUCAGAAUAUUGACUGUUGAACGUCAAAUGACAACUUUUUCACGUCUAAUUAUUUGGACUAUACCUUGUUUAGGAUCUGAACAAAUUGAAAAGUUUUAUUUCUCAUAUACUGGUUUCCCAGUAGUUUCCGGACCGAAAUCGCUAUGUUUUGCCAGUAACUUUCAAACAAAAAAUAGUAGAAACAUAAAAUUUUCACAGAAGAAAGCUAGGUUCUUCAUAAACGCCAUGCAUAAUUCGUAUUACACUUGCGUUCAUUAACACAAAUGUAGGUGAGGCCUCAAAAGGGGCAAUUAAUUCCAUUGAUAUCUCAGUUAUUCCGAGUAGCUUUCCGGACCUUUCAUUGUAACAGUUGUAACCUUUCUGUAAAAGCAAACAUUUCCAAUUUCGUUCUAUAUAUUCAAAAUUAAAACAUAAUUCUAAGGCGUGAUAAUGAUUUGAAAAGUAUAUUUCAAGAAUUUAACAAAUACUGUACAUGUAUUUGUAAUACGCUUAUUGCAGUAACGUCUAAUCACGUUUGAAUGACGUUUGCAACGUCACGCUAAAAAUGACGGAACGUAUUGAGGGAACUGGACAGGUAAUAUUACAAAAAAGAAAUUAAGAACUUUUAAUAUAAUUUACAACUUUUAAAUAAAAAGAACAAGAACGGUCUCAAAAUUGGUAGUCUAACGUACGCCCUGACCACUCGGGUAUGGACAAUGCUGCUAAGCAUUUGAUUGAUCUACGGUAUCGUAGGUAAAUAUCCGUCUAUUUUGGUUCCCAUUUUUAAUCGAUAAUUUAUUGCCGCAGUAUAGUGAAUUGGUCGAUUUUUCUGACUUUCUUUGUUUUAUUUUAUUACUCUCGGAAUGUUUUUACUGUAUCGCCUUCGAAUGGGAGCAUCAAUUGACUAAUGUAUAUCUUCAAGGGGCCUCAAUUUCUGCGCAUGCACACUGUAACUGGAAUUCCCCUGCAGUUGACAAUCGCUUGUGUAAACAAUUACAUCGAAGUAAGUUAAAAAACCGGGAUAUUCAAAUAAUAAAUAAGUUAGUAAUGCUAGGUUUUCGCUGAUAUGUAAAGGCAACAAAGGUCUAGAUGAUAUGAUAUUGUUACCCAGAUGCUUUACGACGGCAUAAAGUCUGUACAACACGAAAUGUAAAAGGUCCGGAAAACUACUUGGGUCCGGAAACUACUGGGAAACCAGUAAACAACAAAACUUCAAUCAAUAAAAAGCACACAGAAAAGACAACAAUAAAGAAUAACACAAUAACACGAAAUAAGAGUGUCCGCCACAUAAUAUUGAAGUGUUCUAGAAAUUUUACCCCUCACUCAUUCUUCUUUCCUUCACUCGGAUUGUUUACUUUCAUUUUUUUUGCAGCCUUUACUGGCGACAACGCAUGAAGUUGGUUGCUGUUUUAGGUUAAAUUCACAAGACAUCAACCCAACAUUACGUAUUGUGCCAGCUUUUCGAUCCAUCCUUCACUUUUGAAGCUGUUUUCCAUGUCGGAACUUUGCCACAGUUUGUGAAUGUAUUCAGUUUCCGCGAUUUAUGUCAGCAAUUCCGUAAUCCUUCAUUUUACUUUCCUAGUGUUAAAUCCUGAUUUCAUAUGACGCAGCAACAUUUAUUAUGUAUUUCUGCUGAGUAAUUCCUCGAGAUUUUAAGUAAAACAUUGUUAUUUUGAUGUUUUAUCACAGUGCACAUGUACAUGUAUGUCAUAUUUCGAGGGCUGAACGCAACAGUACUAGUCUAACUUGAUUUUUUUUUUAAAAAUUACUUUUUGUCAUUUUUGGGUCUAAUUCUAUAAUAUACACCACUAAAAUACAUAUUACAAAUAGAUUACAAAUUUAAGGGAUUUAGGGGCCAGUUGGCAUUUUGCACUAACUGAAACACUGAUAUUUUUUAAUGCAACAGAGAGCUAACUUGAGUUAGCUCUACGUUGCAUUAAACUUUAAUUGUGUGACAAAGUUAUAGAACAGUGUUAUACUUAAAGUAUAACACUGUUCUAUCUUGAGUUAGCACAGUAUUGCUUUUUGGUCUUUCCAAUAUUAAUCAAUAUUAACAUGUACAGUGAAAAAGACUCAAUUGAAGGGGAUAUUUCAUAUACUGAAAUGCUAAAUAGCCUUAAAAGGAUGAAAGAUAAUACUAGCCCAGGUAAUGACGGCUUUACUGUAGAGUUUUUUAAUUUUUUUUGGAAUGAUAUUGGAAUGUUCCUGGUUAGAUCUGUGAAUCAUGCCUUUUCAACAGGAGAACUCUCAGUGACUCAAAAACAAGGAGUAAUAACUUGUAUUCCUAAAGGAAAUAAAGAUAAAACUUUACUGAAAAAUUGGAGACCUAUAUCCCUCUUAAAUGUUUCUUAUAAAUUAGCCUCAUCCUCAAUAGCAUUUAGAAUAAAAAAUACUUUGAAUAAUAUCAUAAAUGAAGACCAAACUGGAUUCAUACCAGGAAGACUUAUGGCUACAAAUAUAAGAUUACUAUAUGACAUUUUGCUUCAUACUGAAAAAUAUGAUGUUCCGGGAUUGUUAUUAUUGAUUGAUUUUGCUGCAGCUUUCGAUACCGUUUCAUGGAAAUUUAUGUUUGAAGUAUUGGAAUAUUUUAAUUUUGGUCCUACAAUUAGAAGGUGGAUUAAGCUUUUUUACACUAAUAUUGAAUCAUGUGUAAUUGUUAAUGGACAUAUGUCUGAGUGGUUCUUCUUGCAGAGAGGUUGUCGUCAAGGAGAUGCUUUGUCGCCCUAUCUUUUCAUUCUAUGUGCAGAAAUUUUAGCUAUCCUUAUAAGGAAAAAUCCAAAAAUAAAAGGAAUAAAAAUUAAUGGUUCAGAAAAUUUAAUUUCACAAUAUGCAGAUGACACAAGUCUUACACUUAAUUGAUCUAAAGAGUCCCUUUUUAAUACAAUGUUAGUUUUAAAAUUCUAUGGAAAGAUAUCAGGCCUUAAUAUUAAUACUGAUAAAACAAAAGUCAUAUGGUUUGGUUCUCGGAGAAACAGUCAACUGGUAAUGUGCCCUGAGUUCAAUCUCUCUUGGGGAAGUAAUGAGUUCACAUUAUUGGGGGUAAAAUUUUCCAUAAAUCUUAAUGAGAUAGUUAACUUAAACUAUAAUGAAAAAAUUGAAGAAAUCAAAACUUUACUGUCAAGCUGGUCAAAAAGAGUUAUCUCACCUAUGGGUAAACUAGUAGUUAUUAAGAGCCUAGCCUUAGCAAAACUUAACCAUUUGAUAUUAGGGAUUCCAAACCCCUCACAAGAAAAAAUUAUUCUUUUACAAAAUAUGUUUUAUAAAUUUUUAUGGAAUAAUGGCAAUGAUAAAGUUAAAAGAAACAUAAUUUCUCAAGAAUAUAGAUUUGGAGGACUCAAAAUGAUUGACCUGAAAAGUUUCAUGCAUAGUUUAAAAGCAACAUGGCUUAGAAGACUUCUAACAAUGAAUAAUAAAUUUAGUAAUUUAGUAGAAUUUAUUUGUCCUGCUUUAAAAUAUAUUUAUAUAAAUGGAACAGAUUUUACCAAAAGACUUUUACAUCAAGAUUUAAACCCUUUUUGGAAAGAUGUGAUACAUAGUUAUCACAAUCUCUCGUGUAAGGUAAUCCCUACCACUGGAAAAGCAUACGCCUUAAUAAAUUUAUGGAACAAUCCAGAUAUAAGGGUUGGAGGCUCUAGUGUUUUUUUUAUAAAAGAUGGCAGACAGCUGGUGUUAUUUUUAUAGGUGAUCUACUUAAUGCACAAGAUGAGUUUUACACAUAUAGAGAAUUUUGCAAUACUUUUAAUGCUAGAACAAACUUUCUUGAGUAUAAUGACCUUAUCGCAUCAGUUAGACAUUUUUUGGAAAGUAAGGGUGUUCAUAAUAUACGAAAAACUUGCAAUCCAGUCAUGCCUACCUGUCUGUCAAUUAUUACAAAAGACAGUAAAGGAUGUAAAAAUAUUUACAAAUAUUUUAGAUCAAAAGAGGAGUUUCCAAAAUCACUGCAAAAAUGGAAAGAUGAUUUUUAUAACAAUACAGGUAUUGUGCUUGAUGAAAUAAAAUAUGACAGAGUUUUCAGGAUUACCAAAGACUCUAAACUCCACUGGCUGCAGUAUAGAAUUAAUCAUAGGAUAUUAGCUACAAACCAUCUAUUGAAAAAAAUGAACAUUUCUCAGGAUGAGACAUGUAGCUUCUGUAAAAAUGAGCAAGAAACUUUAAUUCAUCUUUUUUGGAAAUGUGAUGUAAUCAAACAAUUCUGGUCACAAUUAUUGACAUAUAUAAAUAGUAGUUGUAAUACAAACAUAGUAGAAUUGAGUGCCUCAGAUAUAUUAUUUGGCAGUGAUAAAUACGACAGAAUAAUGAAUAUGCUCCUUCUUUCAGCCAAGCAGUUUUUAUACUACAAUAGAGUUAAGGGUCAAAUACCAUUAUUAGAAGUGUUCAAAAGACAAAUAGUUUUGUUUUACCAGACCGAAAAAUAUACGGCCUCUCAAGUACUUAACUUGACAAAAUUUCAAACAGACUGGGAAAAAUAUAAAAAUUUAGUAGAAUAAACGUACUGUAUUAUAAGUAAAAUUUAUCUUACAGCAACUGUUAAACAUUGAUUUUGUUUAACCUCCAAUUACCAUGCUGGUUAGAUUAGGUUGGUCCAUCCUUGAUUUUUAGAGCAGUUCAUGGCAAAAUCUACGGACCAUCACGAUAAAAAUGCAAUUUUAGCAGCCCGAGGUGCAGAUCCUGAUCAGGCUGCACUGAGGCGCAGAACGGCCUGGCUCUGCACCGAUGGCAAUCCUUUAUAAUUCAGUUUAAAGAAGUUAAAGGUUGAAUUACAUUGAUAAUAAAAGAAAAAUGAUAUCUUUGAGCAACUGUUAUAGGCAAAUGGUUUUGGAUUUUUCUCUUGCUGACACUUAGUUGAGUUUUUGUGUUUUGUUUUGUCUUUUGUGUGUAUAAGUAACCCUCUGGACAGUCCACAGGCAGAGUGUCGUUUCUUGGAAAAUCAUCAAUAUAAUACAAUAUGCUAUAUAUAUAUAUAUAUAAGUAUAAACAGGGUUCCGACUUCCACUUUGUCUCUUAUUUUUAAACUGUUUCCUAAAAUCCUCGAUUCUACAUGCAAUGACUAUAUAGUUGCUUGGGAUGCCCACUUUUAAACCUUUUUUCUUUUUUGGAACCCUGUAGACACUGAAUAAGGAAGUAAGACAGUUUGGUUCACACUUAGGCCUUUUUGUACUUUUUUCUUUCUUUUUUCUUGGCAGAGGCCCUUUUUCCCUCUGUUUGGGACCUCUUGUUCUCUAAUGAGAGGCUUAUAGACUAAGAGAAAUAAUAAGACUGGCUUAAAAUUACAUAAUGACAUACAUUUUGGUCUGUUUUAUGAAAGAUAAAUAAGCUGCUUGAUAAUACCUCUCUCUCUAUUAAAAAAUCCCCUUUUUCUAGGAUUGAAAAUUUUUAGAACUAUUUUGUAAGAUUAAUCCUUUUGAACAAGGCAUUAAAUAUAUUGAUUAACAUGUGAACUAGGUAUUGUAGUUAAACUGAUUUAUAAAUCAUUGUGAACUAGGUAUUGAAUAGUUUGAUAACAUUGUUACUACACUAAGUAUAUACUAUGCGCUGAAAUUUGUUUAACUUAUAUCUAUGUUUAUAUUAUGUCUGUAAGAUGUGAUGCGGGAUGGGUCCCCGACCCCAUCACAUCAUGGACAGGGAUAAUAAAUGGGCCCCUUGUGGGCUGAAAUUAAAAAACAAAACAAAAAAAACAUGUACAGUGUUCUAAGAAUAAGUGAUGUCAUCCUUGUUUAUACUUGAUGACAUCAUAAUAUUCCUUUAAAGAAAGCUUGGCUGGCUCAGAUUCACAGUCUACACGCCAUGUACCCGGAUAAUCUUAACUCUGUUCAGCGACCCUAACUCAGUGCCAACAUGGCGGAUGUAAAGCCGAUACAACUUUGUUUUCUGUGUAAUUACGAUGUAUAAAGGAAUUUUCUGUUGUUAUAUCCAUCUCCAUUGAUCAAGUAUAUAUUUAGUUCAAAAUGUAUCAUGUUAAAUAUAUCAAUCAUUGUGUUUUCAGGUGGAAAAACGACGAACAAGGCAACUUUUUCAAUGAAAACUUUUACAAAAAAUCUUUAAAAAUGCUUCUAUGCCUUUGAUGCCUCGACUAUUUUGUUGUUUGAAAGCAAAGAUAUACUGCUUUAUAGGCCCGUUUACACUAUGUUGUUAACCCACUACAUGUUGACACAAUACAUGUUCAAAUGUACCGACAGCGAGAAAAGGGAUAAAAACCUAACUUUGAUUUGAUAAAAACCGAACUCAGUAUAAAUGAGGAAUCCUCAUAAAAACCUAACUUACACGAAAUUGCGUGACGGAUAAACACCUAACUGACUAGUAUUCUAUAGAAAUGAAUGAGUUGACAUGUACAUGGUCUGAUUAUUGUAAACAUUACUUUAUAAGCGGUAUUGUCUUCAAACUUUGUCAUUAAUUUUACAAGAUGUUAUAUGUAUGCCAACUACAGUCAAAUAUUUUUUCAUAAUUUUAAUAUUAUGCAAAUAGCAAUGUUUGGAAAAAUCUGGAUAAACCCUCAAAAAUAACUCUGUAUAAAAGUCAAAAUUAUUAUACUUAUAUAAGAAAUUAUUUAAUACCACCGAUGUUCGAAGUUCUGUAGUCCCCAACCCUCUCUCCCUCCAUCUCUCUCUCUCUCUCUCUCCCCUCUCUCUCUCUCUCUCUCUCUCUCUCUCUCUCUCUCUCUCUCUCUAUCUCUCGCACGCACGCACGCACGCACGCAUGCACACACACACACUGUUUCAGAAGAAUUGUGUUUGUUUCAAAUCUUGUAUAUCGUAUAGUGUAAGAGAUUUUUAUAGAGGUGCUAAUGGAAUAUUUUUGAUAUUGUUUAAAUUGGAUUAGAUGUAUGAUUAAUUAUUAAAUAUGAUCUUUUUCAGACGGUAAAUAGGGAAGAAAUGUGUGUGGUGUGGUGGGGGGAAUGAUGCAUGGACUGACGGAACAGGGGUGUGGGUAUCCUUACAUUUUUCACUUGUCCACGGACACUUAAAAACCCAUUUGUCCAUAGUCAAAUUUCACUUGCUCUGAUUUGUAAUAUUAAACCUUCAUGAAAGCGCAAAUAGACUGGAGAUCGAGGUCAUUAUUUAGGACAAUAAAAUAGAAAAGCAUAUCUCAGUAACAGUGGUAAAAAAUAAGCUGUUGAAAUAUUUGCCUUUUAACGUUUAUAAAAGUCUGAAAUCGCGUAAGCAGUGUUCGGGAUCUUUUGGGAUCAAACACUGCCCACGCAAUGGUGCAAAGCCAGAUGAAUUCAGAGAAAGACUCUUAAAACUUUCCGACUUAUUUUAGUCAUACUUGCGAUCUCUGUGUGCUUUUGAUUUUAAUUUGGCUGACUACUGGCUCAAAUAUUUCCAUUGACAGUGACUUAUUGUCUCAGCAGUUGGAAUUCUACUUACAAACUUGUCAUAAUCCUUUUUUAAGUUGUUUACGUUUCUGAUGUUUCUGUCCUUUUAGUUCUCUGUGUGUAACCCUUGUUUUCCCUUUUUAGUUUUAGUUACAGAAUGCUAUAUGCUGAUGAUGCAAAUAUUUUUCUUCAGCUACUUUAAGUAGUUCUUAUGUUCCCUUUAGCAUGUAUACAUAUGAUUUCUUCUUUUAUGUUGUUUUUUAAAUGCAUGUUGUAAAAUGUGACUCUUCUUAUUUUUGUGUAGUGUCAGCUAAUCUUUUUUAUGCCCCCGAAGGGAGGCAUAUAGUUUUUGAACCGUCUGUCAGUCUGUCAGUCUGUCAGUCUGUCCGCAAUUUUCGUGUCCGGUCCAUAUCUUUGUCAUCGAUGGAUGGAUUUUCAAAUAACUUGGCAUGAAUGUGUACCACAGUAAGACGACGUGUCGCGCGCAAGACCCAGGUCCGUAGCUCAAAGGUCAAGGUCACACUUAGACUUUAAAGGAUAGUGCAUUGAUGGUCCAUAUCUUUGUCAGCCAUGGAUGGAUUUUCAAAUAACUUGGCAUGAAUAUGUACCACAGUAAGACGACGUGUCGCACGCGAGACCCAGGUCCGUAGCUCAAAGGUCAAGGUCACACUUAGACGUUAAAGGAUAGUGCAUUGAUGGGCGUGUCCGGUCAAUAUCUUUGUCAUCCAUGGAUGGAUUUUCAAAUAACUUGGCAUGAAUGUGUACCAAAGUAAGACGACAUGUCGUGCGCAAGACCCAGGUCCGUAGCUCAAAGGUCAAGGUCACACUUAGACGUUAAAGGUCAUUUUUCAUGAUAGUGCAUUGAUGGGCGUAUCCGGUCCAUAUCUUUGUCAUUCAUGCAUGGAUUUUAAAAUAACUACGCAUGAAUGUGUGACACAGUAAGACGACGUGUCGCUCGCAAGACCCAGCUCCGUAGGUCAAAGGUCCUAAACUCUAACAUCGGCCAUAACUAUUCAUUCAAAGUGCCAUCGGGGGCAUGUGUCAUCCUAUGGAGACAGCUCUUGUUUUAUGUUGCUUUAAAUGUGCUAAAUCUGUAUGUGAUAAAUUACUUUUUCCUUUUAUUUGCAAGUACCUAUGUGCUAUUUUGUUUUAAUGCGCUGUAACAUGUAUGUGAUACUUUGUGAUUUGUUUCUUAUUUACUUAGAGCCAGAUGCUUUAUUUGCUUUAAUGUGCUUUAACAUAUUUGCAUUUUAUUACAGCUGUUUUACUUAUGUUGAGCUUAUUUACAUGUGUUUGUCGGAAAAUAGCUUUAAGCUAGUGUUAUAUGUUUAUACUUAUCCGACGUUAAAUAAAUCUUCUUGUAUCUAAA
Mercenaria mercenaria is the source of this 10649-nucleotide long non-coding RNA. RefSeq lists it as uncharacterized. Lineage: Eukaryota; Metazoa; Mollusca; Bivalvia; Venerida; Veneridae. The record is from RefSeq and is a predicted model, not a curated record. The transcript is spliced from 3 exons.